AGCGAACGCUGGCGGCAGGCUUAACACAUGCAAGUCGAACGGGCGUAGCAAUACGUCAGUGGCAGACGGGUGAGUAACGCGUGGGAACGUACCUUUGGUUCGGAACAACCCAGGGAACUUGGGCUAAUACCGGAUAAGCCCUUACGGGGAAAGGAUUUAUCGCCAAAAGAUCGGCCCGCGUCUGAUUAGCUAGUUGGUGAGGUAACGGCUCACCAAGGCGACGAUCAGUAGCUGGUCUGAGAGGAUGAUCAGCCACAUUGGGACUGAGACACGGCCCAAACUCCUACGGGAGGCAGCAGUGGGGAAUAUUGGACAAUGGGCGCAAGCCUGAUCC
This 334-nucleotide ribosomal RNA is filed under the name uncultured bacterium. Its description in RNAcentral is "bacterial SSU rRNA". It matches the Rfam family "Bacterial small subunit ribosomal RNA", at positions 29 to 389 of the family's 1533-position model. The record is from RNAcentral.